UACGGGGGGGGCAAGCGUUGUUCGGAAUUACUGGGCGUAAAGGGCUCGUAGGCGGCCAACUAAGUCGGACGUGAAAUCCCUCGGCUUAACCGGGGAACUGCGUCUGAUACUGGAUGGCUUGAGUUUGGGAGAGGGACGCGGAAUUCCAGGUGUAGCGGUGAAAUGCGUAGAUAUCUGGAGGAACACCGGUGGCGAAGGCGGCGUCCUGGACCAACACUGACACUGAAAAGCGAAAGCCAGGGGAGCAAACGGG
Molecule: ribosomal RNA, 253 nt
Filed under: uncultured bacterium
Lineage: Bacteria
Description: partial 16S ribosomal RNA
Rfam family: Bacterial small subunit ribosomal RNA
Source: RNAcentral